RNAcentral lists this ribosomal RNA (2923 nucleotides) under Klebsiella pneumoniae. RNAcentral describes it as "23S ribosomal RNA". It matches the Rfam family "Bacterial large subunit ribosomal RNA". The record is from RNAcentral. Lineage: Bacteria; Pseudomonadati; Pseudomonadota; Gammaproteobacteria; Enterobacterales; Enterobacteriaceae.
GGGUUGUGAGGUUAAGCGACUAAGCGUACACGGUGGAUGCCCUGGCAGUCAGAGGCGAUGAAGGACGUGCUAAUCUGCGAAAAGCGUCGGUAAGGUGAUAUGAACCGUUAUAACCGGCGAUGUCCGAAUGGGGAAACCCAGUGUGAUUCGUCACACUAUCGUUAACUGAAUACAUAGGUUAACGAGGCGAACCGGGGGAACUGAAACAUCUAAGUACCCCGAGGAAAAGAAAUCAACCGAGAUUCCCCCAGUAGCGGCGAGCGAACGGGGAGCAGCCCAGAGUCUGAAUCAGCUUGUGUGUUAGUGGAACGGUCUGGAAAGUCCGACGGUACAGGGUGAUAGUCCCGUACACCAAAAUGCACAGGCUGUGAACUCGAAGAGUAGGGCGGGACACGUGGUAUCCUGUCUGAAUAUGGGGGGACCAUCCUCCAAGGCUAAAUACUCCUGACUGACCGAUAGUGAACCAGUACCGUGAGGGAAAGGCGAAAAGAACCCCGGCGAGGGGAGUGAAAAAGAACCUGAAACCGUGUACGUACAAGCAGUGGGAGCACCUUCGGGUGUGACUGCGUACCUUUUGUAUAAUGGGUCAGCGACUUAUAUUCUGUAGCAAGGUUAACCGUAUAGGGGAGCCGCAGGGAAACCGAGUCUUAACUGGGCGUUAAGUUGCAGGGUAUAGACCCGAAACCCGGUGAUCUAGCCAUGGGCAGGUUGAAGGUUGGGUAACACUAACUGGAGGACCGAACCGACUAAUGUUGAAAAAUUAGCGGAUGACUUGUGGCUGGGGGUGAAAGGCCAAUCAAACCGGGAGAUAGCUGGUUCUCCCCGAAAGCUAUUUAGGUAGCGCCUCGUGAAUUCAUCUUCGGGGGUAGAGCACUGUUUCGGCUAGGGGGUCAUCCCGACUUACCAACCCGAUGCAAACUACGAAUACCGAAGAAUGUUAUCACGGGAGACACACGGCGGGUGCUAACGUCCGUCGUGAAGAGGGAAACAACCCAGACCGCCAGCUAAGGUCCCAAAGUCAUGGUUAAGUGGGAAACGAUGUGGGAAGGCACAGACAGCCAGGAUGUUGGCUUAGAAGCAGCCAUCAUUUAAAGAAAGCGUAAUAGCUCACUGGUCGAGUCGGCCUGCGCGGAAGAUGUAACGGGGCUAAACCAUGCACCGAAGCUGCGGCAGCGACACUAUGUGUUGUUGGGUAGGGGAGCGUUCUGUAAGCCUGCGAAGGUGUGCUGUGAGGCAUGCUGGAGGUAUCAGAAGUGCGAAUGCUGACAUAAGUAACGAUAAAGCGGGUGAAAAGCCCGCUCGCCGGAAGACCAAGGGUUCCUGUCCAACGUUAAUCGGGGCAGGGUGAGUCGACCCCUAAGGCGAGGCCGAAAGGCGUAGUCGAUGGGAAACAGGUUAAUAUUCCUGUACUUGGUGUUACUGCGAAGGGGGGACGGAGAAGGCUAUGUUAGCCGGGCGACGGUUGUCCCGGUUUAAGCAUGUAGGCUGAUUGUCCAGGCAAAUCCGGAUAAUCAAGGCUGAGGUGUGAUGACGAGGCACUACGGUGCUGAAGUAACAAAUGCCCUGCUUCCAGGAAAAGCCUCUAAGCAUCAGGUAACAUUAAAUCGUACCCCAAACCGACACAGGUGGUCAGGUAGAGAAUACCAAGGCGCUUGAGAGAACUCGGGUGAAGGAACUAGGCAAAAUGGUGCCGUAACUUCGGGAGAAGGCACGCUGGUGUGUAGGUGAAGCCCCUGCGGGUGGAGCUGAGACCAGUCGAAGAUACCAGCUGGCUGCAACUGUUUAUUAAAAACACAGCACUGUGCAAACACGAAAGUGGACGUAUACGGUGUGACGCCUGCCCGGUGCCGGAAGGUUAAUUGAUGGGGUUAUCCGUAAGGAGAAGCUCUUGAUCGAAGCCCCGGUAAACGGCGGCCGUAACUAUAACGGUCCUAAGGUAGCGAAAUUCCUUGUCGGGUAAGUUCCGACCUGCACGAAUGGCGUAAUGAUGGCCAGGCUGUCUCCACCCGAGACUCAGUGAAAUUGAACUCGCUGUGAAGAUGCAGUGUACCCGCGGCAAGACGGAAAGACCCCGUGAACCUUUACUAUAGCUUGACACUGAACAUUGAGCCUUGAUGUGUAGGAUAGGUGGGAGGCUUUGAAGCGUGGACGCCAGUCUGCGUGGAGCCAACCUUGAAAUACCACCCUUUAAUGUUUGAUGUUCUAACGUUGGCCCCUGACCGGGGUUGCGGACAGUGUCUGGUGGGUAGUUUGACUGGGGCGGUCUCCUCCCAAAGCGUAACGGAGGAGCACGAAGGUUAGCUAAUCCUGGUCGGACAUCAGGAGGUUAGUGCAAUGGCAUAAGCUAGCUUGACUGCGAGCGUGACGGCGCGAGCAGGUGCGAAAGCAGGUCAUAGUGAUCCGGUGGUUCUGAAUGGAAGGGCCAUCGCUCAACGGAUAAAAGGUACUCCGGGGAUAACAGGCUGAUACCGCCCAAGAGUUCAUAUCGACGGCGGUGUUUGGCACCUCGAUGUCGGCUCAUCACAUCCUGGGGCUGAAGUAGGUCCCAAGGGUAUGGCUGUUCGCCAUUUAAAGUGGUACGCGAGCUGGGUUUAGAACGUCGUGAGACAGUUCGGUCCCUAUCUGCCGUGGGCGCUGGAGAAUUGAGGGGGGCUGCUCCUAGUACGAGAGGACCGGAGUGGACGCAUCACUGGUGUUCGGGUUGUCAUGCCAAUGGCACUGCCCGGUAGCUAAAUGCGGAAGAGAUAAGUGCUGAAAGCAUCUAAGCACGAAACUUGCCCCGAGAUGAGUUCUCCCUGAGACUUUAAGUCUCCUGAAGGAACGUUGAAGACGACGACGUUGAUAGGCCGGGUGUGUAAGCGCAGCGAUGCGUUGAGCUAACCGGUACUAAUGAACCGUGAGGCUUAACCUUACAACGCCGAAG